AUCCGGAGAGAUCUGUGCCAUGCCUCUCAACCCGGAACACCCCAAACGAUCUUAGGCCCUCUUCACUACCGGCGGCCACGUGUUUAGGCUCUCCUGAUGACGACUCCGGCACCUGUUCGGUAAGGUGCCAAUCUAGCACGUCGGAGCAAAAGCUUCUCAAGUCGUGGAACUCGAUCCAUAUGUCACUCGACAGGCAGAUCGGCUCAGUGGCUGAAGCGUGUUCUGGCAAUGGCGUGAAUCGCAGGGGUGUGCCGAGGAGAGUCUCGCUGCGCUCCUGGACCACAAAAUGUAGGCACCGUAGACCGGUUGGGACGGCUUUGAGGCCGCCACCGCUCGCAGGUUUUGCUGGGAGCAUGUAGUAAUUUGACUUGCUAUUUAGCACGUUGCCUUCUGUGUCAUAGACUAGUUGGGUGGUGUUGUUAGCAGAGCAAGUGUUGAUGGGGAGGAGGAGGAGGAAGAAGAAGAUGGUUUUCAUGCCAGUCGAUCUAAACGUUUGACAACAAUUGUUUUUCAGUCUAUGUUAUUUCUUGAGGAUCUGAGUUGGCUUGGGUUUAUAUAGACAGUAUGCAGCCACCAUUUAUGGGCCAUGUUGAUUCGGAUGAUUCCCGUAAUUUCAGCCAUUAAAAUCAUACCUUUUAUGCAGCCUUUUUGAAGGGCACAUUUAUAUGGAGUUAACUUUGGACAAAUAUUACUGUAAUACAUAUUGUCUUGUAAAUAUGAUAAGGGAACCGCUUCGAUAUGUUGUGUUUUUUUACAUAGCUUACCAUAUAUGUCAUGUGGUGUAUUGGACGCUUCCCAUCUGACCACAUCUACGCCAUACGAUGGCUAAGCAUGACACCGACCGGAUCAACACAGUGCGGAGAGGGCCAAGGAUAAUGGCGGCCACGUGGAUUGUAUUAGUGUAUGCAUGUAUUAAUGUAUACACUAUGUGGUAUUUACCAAGGUAAUUAGUGGGAGAGAGAAGCCUUCACACAAUCAACUGCGUACGUGCACAAAUCAUGGUGGAGCAAAUUCUUCUUUGGAACAGCGGGCAGACGCUUCGACCUAGAGGAGCAAAAAAUGUACGAUUUUGCAAAAAAAAAUCUUAACAAGCUCUCUCUCAAAUGAAGGUAUGACCAAUUAAAGAUACUCAGUAUUUUGUUUCUCGCUAAAAUACGGUAAUUGCCUUUGGCUCCUAGGUGCAUAUGCACCCAUUAUCGAAAUACACAUUUUGAAAAGUUGAAAAAUUCGGAACAAAAAUCCCGCAUGUAUAUCCAGACAUUUUAUGUGCGUGCACAAGGUUUCAAUGAAAAACGACAUUUUUUGUGGCUUGUAUAAACAAAUUUUGAUGCUUCAUUCUAACUAUUCACUAGGCAUUUCUUUAUCUUUUUUACACAAGCCAUAAAAACGUCGUUUUUCACCGAAACCUUGUGAAUGCACAUAAAAUGUCCGGAUAUAUACGUGGGAUUUUUGUUUCGAAUUUUUCAACUUUUCAAAAUAUGUAUUUCAACAAUGUGUGCAUAUACACCUAGAAGCCAAAACGCCGCUCUCGCUAAAAUAAUAUUUUGUUCCCAAUAGGGAGGGCCCUUAUUUCAUAACAUAAACGUUAGUGUACUGCGUACCAAUCGUGAGGAUCUUGCUUCCUAAAUUUUGGUUUGCUUCCUACAUAAUCUUUUUGCUUUGGACCCUAAAAGGAUCUUUGUUUGUUUUCGGUUAAAUUAUUUCAGUUUUGCUAAAGCACAUCUAGAUGUGCCAUAAGUAUUGCACAUCUAAGUCCUAUGUCAUUGAUCUUAAAUUGAGAUUUGUGUAAUUUUUUUUUCCUUUUUAUGCUUGAUUCACUCACUUAGAUGUGCAAUAAGUAUAGCACAUCUAGAUGUGCCCUAGACACAUCCAUAUUAUUUCCAUGCCAACUAAAAAUUGUUUUCAUACGGUCAGAGUUUGCUUGUAUGGAUCAGACUGGGGAGUCCGUUUGCAUGGAAACCGGAGAUUGCUUCUGUCUUGUUAUAUUUUGGUCUUCUAGUUAGAAUAUGUGUCCCCCGCAAAUAAAAGUUAGUUGGCAUUGACCGUUCAAAAAGUAUACAAUUAAAUAUGACCAUUUUCAAACAAAAAAAGUAGAAGUUGCAUCCGGUAUAUUUUAUUCACGUAGACAAAAUAUGUUUCAUACGACCAGAAAUAUUGUCUUGACUAUAUCUAAAAAGUGCUUCAGAAAAAUAGUUUCAUCAAGCAUUGCUUAGAAAAUAUUAGAACUUGUUUUUAGACAAACAAGGAGGAGCUCCCCGGCUCCAUUUAAAAAAUGAAGGGACCGCCUAGAACUCAGCUGACUGAGACAAGUUUGGUCUCAGUCAGGUAUGUCAUCUGAUGUGGUGCCUUUUUUUCGUGCCAAUCUUGGACUUUUUUUAGGUGAACUAGGGAUUAAUUCAAAGUUCAAAACCGAAGAAAUACAAUCAAUGUCAGUUGGGAUCCCUAACCACAAAUACCGACCUACAGGGAGGGAUGAAGUUGCCUUAGCUAAGAGCAACUCUAGCAGACCCCGCAUCCGGCACGAACGUUAACCCACAUAAUUCCGGCGAUUAUAUGGGCUCGGCCCAUUAUUCUGACCAGACCAGAGCCCGUAUCGGUGUCCGGCCCGUAAACAUUUUUGCCGUAACCCGCAAACGCUACCCCCGAGCCAGUAUUGAUGGAGUCGUGUACCUAGGGUAGGGUCAUGGACCUGUCCAAGGUACCCUCCCCAAGGACAUCUUCAGAUGAUGCCGUCUUCCAGUCGACCUAGAGGGACUCCACUCGACUGACUGGAAGACACUCGACGUACUUGAAGACACUCGACCAUGAAGACUUACUCGACCACCAGGACUUCAAGAUCUACUCUGUAUCCAAACGGUCUGUAAUUAAGUAGGCUUUAUGGUCAUGAUGACACUUUAUGUAGGGCGUUACCUGUAACGCCAGGCCUUAAUGUACUUUAAACCCUCCGCUACGUGGGCUGGCUGGGGUCUUGGCAUCCUCUAUAUAAGCCACCCCCCUCCACUGGCAGAAGGGUUCGCAGCCCUGUAACUCUCACACAUAUAAUCCAGUCGACCGCCUCCGGGCACCGAGACGUAGGGCGGUUACUUCUUCCGAGAAGGGCCUGAACUCGUAAAACUCUUGUGUGCACAACUACUCCAUAGCUAGGAUCUUGCCUCUCCUCAGUACACCCCUACAUUACUGUCAGACUUAGAACCACGACAGUUCGCGCCCACCUUGGGGCAGGUGUCUUAGCGACUUAUUGGAGAAGUUGCAAUUUUUCCGAUUCCCAUCAUCAUGGUUACAGGCGGAGUUUUGGUUGAGGGCCGCGAGAUCCGUCUCGGCGCGCUCACGUUCGUCGCCGACGACUCUGCCUGGCUGCAGGAGGCUCCGCUCGACGUCGACGCGCUCCCAGUCCGCGGGGCUACGCACUUUCGAGCAUGCGUCCACGGCGUCCUUCUGCGGCAACCAUCGACCCAGUAUAUGCCGGUUUCCGUGUCAUCCUCCCUCCCCGCUUCCCGCCGGCGCAAGCGCUCCGGUCGGUCGAGGCUUCAGCGGUGGGUGAGGCACGCGGUGGCUCGCCAGUCGACCACCGCCGAAGUCGCGGCAAUCGAGUCCGAUGAAUCUCUCUACGGCCUGUUCGACCUGUCGACUGGCUCCGCAGAGACUGCAUCCGAGUGCGACAGCAGUGAUCCAGCGGCGGAGGUCCUGAUGGUCAAUGGACCGCACAUUCCCCCCGGCUUUCCCGGUGCCGAGGGAGGCAACGGCGGAGGCGAUCCGUCGCACGCCCAUGAGGAAUAUCUCCCCGAGCCCCUCAAUUCGCAGCAGAGGGAAGAGCUUCGCCGCCGGAACAUGGAUGCGCUUCACACUCCGAGCGUUGGAGAAACCCUUGAGGCUCGCACCUUGGAGGACGCGCGCUUGGCCAACCUGACCGAGCGCACUCGACUGGAGAACCUUCAACGGGCACUCGACGAGCGCGCGCGGCAACGGAUUCCAGACUCCAGUCGACGCCAGCUCUUUCCACCUCCGACUCAGGUAUAUCGAACUCCGAUUCAGAAUUGAGCAGCUGCAGCCCGUAUAGCAGAAUCAAUUCAGCCUUCCCAGUCAGAGGCUGGCAGAGGCUUGAUGCAGAUCAGAGAUUUGCUCCGAGAAGCAGGAGAUCAGAACUCAGCUGUGUCGCAGUCGCGGAACAGGAUUCAUAGCAAGUCCGUGGCUGCAAAUACGGUCCAGUCGGCUCAUAGCCCCAGAUCGCCCCCGAGGCGUGAAGGGCGUGGUGACCGGCAUGAUUAGUACAGGAACCAUGAGCAGUAUGAUCACCGAUUCGAUCGCAAUGGUCGACGUCGAGUGCCUACUCCCCCCCCCCCAAGGGGUGGGUCCUAUAUGCCUCGAUAGCAGGAUGAUAGACGCCAACACAGUGGUGGGCGAAGGAUUCCGGUCGACCCCAGGGAACCAGGCUUUGAUGCGAGAUCCAUCAUCGUUCAAGGUCUGGUUGACCGAAACAGAGCCCACAGAGAGGGUAACGACAGAGAUGUACCCACCAGCAGCCGAGUGCAUGUCUCCGGGCCAGAGUGUUUCAGUAGAGCCAUCAGAGCCGCGGUGAUUCCUCUCAACUUCAGGUUGGCGACUGGAGUCAGCAAGUUCAACGGUGAGUCUAAGCCCGAUACUUGGCUUGAGGACUACCGAGUGGUUGUUCAGAUCGGCGGCGGAAAUGACAAGGUGGCCAUGAAGCAUCUGCCUCUUAUGUUGGAAGGGUCAGCCAGAGCAUGGCUGAAUCAGUUGACACCCAACAGCAUUUACACGUGGGAGGACCUCUCCCGAGUGUUUGUCAGAACGUUCGAAGGAACAUGCAAGUGACUAGCAGGACUGACAAAGAUACAAUCUUGUGUGCAGAAGUCGAAUGAAACUUUGAGGGAUUACAUCCAGAGAUGGAUCACACUGCAUCACACAGUAGAGAAUGUAUCUGAUCACCAGGCAGUCUGCGCCUUCAAGGAGGGCGUAAAGUACAGAGAGCUAAGCCUGAAAUUCGGCCGAACCGGAGACAUGUCUUUGAGUCAAAUGAUGGAAAUAGCCACCAAAUAUGCCAAUGAUCAGGAAGAGGAUCGGCUCCAGAGUGGCAAGCACAAGUCAGUCGCCCAGGAAACAGGAGGAGGGAACUCAAGUCGGAAGCAGAAGCGGAAAGCCGAGCCAGCUGCUCCUGGAGAAGCCUUGGCCGUGACUCAAGGGAAGUUCAAAGGAAAGCCCAAGGGGCCUUAGAACCCCAAAAAAGUAAAGGAUAAAGAAGGAAACGACAUGAUGGAUUUACCGUGUCACAUCCACACGAAGAAAGAUGAGGAGGGUAACUUCAUUUACCCGAAGCAUACCACUCGGCAUUGUCGACUCCUGAUACAACAGUUUCAAGGGAAGCAGCACAAAGAUAAGGAAAAAGAGUCGGAUAAAGUCGAGGACAAGGAGGACAGUGACGAGGAAUAUCCGCAGGUCAAUUCCACCCUGAUGAUUUUUGCUGACGUUGAGAGCAAAAACCGACUGGAAGUUAUAAACCGAGAGGUGAAUAUGGCUGCUCCGGCAACACCCAAUUAUCUGCAGUGGUCCCAAACCGCCAUUACAUUCGACUAGUCUGAUCACCCAACGCACAUAGCCACCCCUGGGAGGCAAGCUCUGGUGGUCGACCCAGUCGUUGAGGGCACUCGAUUGACUAAAGUAUUGAUGGAUGGCGGCAGUAGUUUGAAUAUACUGUAUGCUGAGACGCUGCAAGGGAUGAGCAUUCUGAUGUCCAGACUCAGCACAAGCAACAUGAGUUUCUAUGGAGUCAUUCCUGGCAAGAAGGCCGCGUCACUCGGCCAGAUUGCUCUUGAUGUGGUUUUUGGUGAUUCCAAGAACUUCCGCAAAGAGAAGCUGACAUUUGAGGUUGUAGAUUUCCAGAGUGCCUAUCACACUAUUUUGGGCAGGCCGGCUUAUGCACGUUUUAUGGCUCGACCAUGUUACGUGUAUCUCAAAUUGAAGAUGCCAGGCCCCAAAGGCGUGAUCACUGUUACUGGUAAUCGCAAGAAGGCAGAAGAGUGCUUCCAGAAAGGCUCAAAGAUCGCUGAUGCUCAGAUGGUGGCAGGAGAGUGGCAGGAACACCAGAGGAAUGCAGACCCGAGUGAUUUGUUGCGAGCCAAGAAGCCUGCUACGGAAUCAGCGUUCCAGUCGUCCAGUGAGACAAAACCAGUUCAUAUCCACCCGACCGACCCCAACGCUGCUCCGACUCAUAUCUUCACAACACUCGACCCCAAAUAGAAAGAAGCACUCAUCCAGUUCCUCCGUGAGAACUGGGACAUCUUCGCAUGGAAACCUUCUGACAUGCCGGGUGUACCCAGGGGACUGGCUGAGCAUCGUCUGUGAGUCGAUUCAAAGGAAAAACCUGUGAAGGAACAUCUGUGACGGUCUUCCGUCCAGAAAAGGAAGGCUAUUGGCGAAGAGGUGGCUCGGCUCCUAGCAGCAGAGUUUAUCCGAGAGAUUUACCACUCCGAGUGGCUCGCCAAUGUCGUCAUGGUCCCCAAAAAGACAAUUCGCUUCGCAUGUGCAUUGAUUUUAAGCACAUCAAUCGGGCCUGCCCGAAAGAUCAUUUUCCUCUUCCCUGCAUCGACCAAAUAGUCGACUCGACUGCGGGAUGUGAGCGACUGUCUUUCUUAGACGCUUAUUCCGGGUACCAUCAGAUCCAUCUGUUUGGGCCCGAUGAAAUCAAAACAGCUUUCAUCACCCCAUUUGGGUGCUUCUGUUAUGUCACCAUGCCAUUCGGCCUCAAAAAUGCCGGAGCCACGUUCAUGAGGAUGAUUCAGAAGUGUUUGCUCACUCAAAUCAGUCAGAAUGUGGAAGCGUACAUGGAUGACAUUGUGGUCAAGUCACGGAAAGGUUCCGACCUGCUGACUGACCUUGCUGAAACAUUUGCCAACCUCAGGAGGUAUGAUAUCAAGCUUAACCCAUCCAAGUGCACAUUCGGAGUUCCUGGCGGAAAGUUACUCGGUUUUCUCAUUUCCGAACGAGGAAUCGAUGCAAACCCGGAGAAAGUGGGCACUAUACUCUGAAUGAAACGACCUGUGCGUGUGCACGAUGUUCAGAAGCUUACUGGUUGCUUGGCCGCUUUAAGUCGAUUCAUCUCUCGUCUCGGUGAGAAGGCAUUGCCUCUUUACCGACUGAUGAAUAAGUCAGACAAGUUCGAGUGUACUCCUGAAGCUAACGCAACGUUUGCAGAGUUAAAAACCCUGCUUUCCACCCAGCCGGUGCUUGCUGCCCCGAUCAGCAAAGAGCCUUUGCUGCUUUACAUUGCAGCCACAGGACAAGUUGUCAGUAUUGUACUUACGGUCGAGCGGGAAGAAGAAGGGAAAGCCUUCAAAGUUCAGCGCCCGGUAUAUUACAUUUCCGAAGUCCUGACCCCAUCAAAGCAACGAUACCCUCAUUAUAAGAAGCUUGUAUAUGGGAUUUAUAUGACCACGAAGAAAGUUGCUCAUUACUUCUCUGACCAUAUCAUCACAGUCGUCAGCGACGCCCCCUUAUCAGAGAUUCUGCACAACAGAGAUGCAACUGGCCGAGUGGCAAAAUGGGCGAUUGAACUUCUUCCCCUGGAUAUCAGAUUUGAGGCAAAGAAAGCUAUCAAGUCCCAAGCAAUAGCAGAUUUCCUCGCCGAGUGGACUGAACAGCAGUUACCGACUCAAGUUCACUCGGAGCACUGGACUAUGUUCUUCGAUGGCUCUAAAAUGCUGAAUGGUUCCGGUGCCGGGGUAGUGUUGGUUUCCCCCCGAGGAGAUAAGCUCAGAUAUGUACUCCAGAUUCACUUUGAUUCCUCCAACAAUGAAGCAGAGUACGAAGCACUCUUGUAUGGGUUGUGUAUGGCCAUUUCACUCGGCGUCCAUCGCCUCAUGGUCUACGGUGACUCGGAUUUAGUGGUCAACCAAGUGAUGAAGGAGUGGGACGUCAGAAGCCCAGCCAUGAUUGGUUACUGCAAUGCAGUCAGAAAGCUGGAGAAGAAAUUUGAGGGAUUAGAGCUCCAUCACGUCCCCCGAUUGAAAAAUCAAGCAGCCGAUGACUUGGCGAAGAUAGGUUCCAAAAGAGAAGCCAUCCCGAGUGGCGUGUCUUUGGAGCAUGUUCACACGCCGUCGGUUCAAGAAGAUCCAUUCACUGAAGAAGCCCCGCAGCCAAAAAGCGCCACAGAUCCGACUGAAGUCGAGAUCCCAGCUGUUGUCGACUUAAUCAUGGAAGUUCUGGUUAUCACUCCCGACUGGAUAGUGCCCUAUAUCGCGUAUAUUCUAAGGAAAGAGCUCCCAGAGAAUGAAGAGGAGAGGAGGCUCGAGAGAUUGUCCGUCGAUCCAAAGCCUUUACUGUCAUGAAGGGACAGUUGUACAGAGAAAGCACGACUGGAGUCAGCCAGAAAUGCAUAACACCAGAAGAGGGUCGAAUGAUUCUCAAUGACAUCCACUCGAGGACCUGUGGCCAUCAUGCGUCCUCUCGGACCAUCAUGGCUAAAGCAUACCGAGCGGGUUUUUACUGGCCCAGAGCAAAUGAAAUGGCGAAAGAAAUAGUCGGCAAGUGUGAAGGAUGUCAGUUUUACUCCAACAUGUCACACAAACCCUCCUCAUCCUUGAAGACCAUCCCGAUCAUCUGGCGUUUCGCUGUUUGGGGUUUAGAUAUGGUUGGACCGUUGAGAACUGGUAGGAGCGGCUUCACCCAUGUACUGGUGGCAGUCGACAAGUUCACCAAGUGGAUCGAAGCCAAGCCCAUUAAAAAUCUUCAUGCUGGCACUGCCAUCAGCUUCAUCAGAGAAUUAAUAUUCAGAUAUGGAGUUCCGCAUAGCAUCAUCAGUGAUAAUGGGUCAAACUUUGACUCCGAUCAAUUCAAAGCUUUCUGUGCUUCCCAAGGCACGCGAGUCGACUACGCUUCAGUCGCCCACCCCCAGUCGAAUGGACAAGCAGAAAGAGCAAACGGCCUAAUUCUCAAAGGACUAAAACCUCGAUUGAUGCGCGACCUCAAGCACACAGCAGGCGCGUGGGUCGACGAACUUCCAUCAGUUCUUUGGGGAUUGAGGACUACUCCAAAUCGGUCGACUGGGAGGACUCCGUUCUUUCUGGUCUACGGAGCUGAGGCAGUUCUACUGAGUGACCUGCUUCACAAUGCAUCGCGAGUCGAGCUCUACUCUGAAGCUGAAGCAGAACAAGCCCGGCAGGACGCAGUCGACCUUCUAGAAGAAGAAAGAGAGAUCGCCAUGAUCCGAUCGACCAUCUAUCAGCAAGACUUGCGUCAAUUCUACGCCAGAAAUGUUAAGAGUCGAGCCUUCCAAGAAGGAGACUUGGUCCUCCGAGUGGACCAACAGAAGCGACACAAACUCUCCCCUACUUGGGAAGGCCCCUUCAUUGUUACCAAGGUUCUCCACAACGAAGCAUACUGUCUUUACAACGUCGACCGCCAGAUUGACGAGCCACGAGCUUGGAAUGCGGAUCUGCUCCGCCCCUUUUAUACUUAAGUAUUCACUCGGAUGAGUUGUAAUAAAAGUACUUAUGUAGUUUAUUUAUCAAAGACAAGAGUUUCAUAAUUUUCCCAGUGAUUGUUAUUACUUUUGUUCACAUAAAUCAGUCCCCCAGUGGGUGGCUUAGCUGCGAAUCCGUUUCGCCUAAGUUUGUAAAAAAAUCCUACCGAGUGGUAAGCCAGCCUUCCACUCGAAGGCUUAGCUGCGAAUCCGUUUCGCCUAAGUUUAAACAAAAUCCUACCGAGUGGAAAGCCAGCCUUCCACUCGGAGGCUUAGCUGCAAUCCAAGUACUCGCCUAAGUUAAAACAAAAUCCUACCGAGUGGAGAGCAAACCUCCCACUCGGGGGCUUAGCUCCAACCCAGUGCUCGCCUAAGUUUUUGAAAACCCUACCGAGUGGUAAGUCAGCCUUCCACUCGGGGGCUUAGCUGCAACCUAGUGUUCGCCUAAGUAUAAAAGACAACGUGCGCUCCGCAAGGAGGACGAGGCGCAGGUCGACUCCUGCCUUCUCCUUCUGAGCUACGCCACAAAUACAAUGUGCGCUCCGCAAGGAGGACGAGGCGCAGGUCGACUCCUGCCUUCUCCUUCCGAGCUACGCCACAAAUACAACAUGCGCUCCGCAAGGAGGACGAGGAGCAGGUCGACUCCUGCCUUCUCCUUCCGAGCGACACCACAAAUACAACGUGCGUUCCGCAAGGAGGACGAAGUGCAGGUCGACUGCUACCUUCUCCUCCAAAGCUACGCCACGAAAAUCCUACCGAGUGGAGAGCAAACCUCCCACUCGGGGGCUUAGCUGCAGCCCAGUGCUCGCCUAAGUUUCUAAAAUCCUACCGAGUGGAGAGCAAACCUCCCACUCGGGGGCUUAGCUGCAGCUCAGUGCUCGCCUAAGUUUCUAAAAUCCUACCAAGUGGAGAGCAAACCUCCCACUCGGGGGCUUAGCUGCAGCCCAGUGCUCGCCUAAGUUUCUAAAAUCCUACCUAGUGGAGGGUAAACCUCCCACUCGGGGGCUUAGCUGCAGCCCAGUCCUCGGCUAAGUUUAUAAAAUCCUGNNNNNNNNNNNNNNNNNNNNNNNNNNNNNNNNNNNNNNNNNNNNNNNNNNNNNNNNNNNNNNNNNNNNNNNNNNNNNNNNNNNNNNNNNNNNNNNNNNNNNNNNNNNNNNNNNNNNNNNNNNNNNNNNNNNNNNNNNNNNNNNNNNNNNNNNNNNNNNNNNNNNNNNNNNNNNNNNNNNNNNNNNNNNNNNNNNNNNNNNNNNNNNNNNNNNNNNNNNNNNNNNNNNNNNNNNNNNNNNNNNNNNNNNNNNNNNNNNNNNNNNNNNNNNNNNNNNNNNNNNNNNNNNNNNNNNNNNNNNNNNNNNNNNNNNNNNNNNNNNNNNNNNNNNNNNNNNNNNNNNNNNNNNNNNNNNNNNNNNNNNNNNNNNNNNNNNNNNNNNNNNNNNNNNNGGGGGCUUAUCUGCAGCCCAGUGCUCGCCUAAGUUUCUAAAAUCCUACCUAGUGGAGGGUAAACCUCCCACUCGGGGGCUUAGCUGCAGCCCAGUCCUCGGCUAAGUUUAUAAAAUCCUGCCGAGUGGAGAGCAAACCUCCCACUCGGGGGCUUAGCUGCAGCCCAGUGCUCGCCUAAGUUUAUAAAAUCCUGCCGAGUGGAGAGCAAACCUCCCACUCGGGGGCUUAGCUGCAGCCCAGUGCUCGCCUAAGUUUCUAAAAUCCUACCGAGUGGAGGGUAAACCUCCCACUCGGGGGCUUAGCUGCAGCCCAGUGCUCGCCUAAGUUCCGAAAAUCCUGUCGAGUGGAGAACAAACCUCCCACUCGGAGGCUUAGCUGCAGCCCAGCACUCGCCUAAAACAUGACGAGUACAUGUUGAUUGCAAUUUGUGCUUCGUCCCUACCUGCAAAAGAGCAUCACAGACACUAGUAUAUAUUCCAACCCAAGGAUGAUGAUUGUUCGAAAGCAGAAGCAAACAUAUUCAACGGCAAACCAAGUUCGGAUAGCGUCCUACGGAUCCAGAAGCGCUCAGGCAUCAAGCCUGUUAAGGUUUAUCGGUUACAAAAAUCACUCGGCAUUCUGAGGCAAAUUCAAAGCGUCAAGCAUAGAAGUUUUUUACCCCUCCUGUGGAGGGCUGGAAGGCGCAACAAACUCGUCCAGGUCGAUUCCAUCUUUGAUCCGAGUGGCAGCGGCGAUGAAGGUCUCCAUGAAGGAUCGGAAGUCAUGCUUCUUGGUGUUGGCCACCUUGAGAGCUGCUAGCUUGUCCUCUCGCGCAUCCUUGCAGUGAACACGGACCAGAGAUAGAGCAACGUCGGCACCGCAUCUGGCAGAAGACUUCUUCCAUUUGUGCACUCGACUUGGAACUUCGUUCAGUCGAGUCAUCAAGGACUCAAGGUCGUUCUGAAGUGCUUCUCCUGGCCAGAGCGCCGUGUCGAUGUGUGACGUCACAACCUUCAGCCAUGCAAGAUAGUCAACAACAGCAGCAACGCGCGACUCGAGUCGGAGCAUGUUCAUGGCAGCUUCAUCCUUCACGGGAGAGUUGAUGGGGUCCAAGCCAGUCUCCACUCGACUAGUCUCUUCUUCAAAGUUUUGGCAGAAUUCUGUGGAUACGGUCCAAGGAUAAGCUAAUGUUCCCACAAAGUCAGUGAUUACCAGUCGGAUAUAAAGGGUUACCUUCGAGCAUGAGGAAUAACUUCCUGGCGAGCUCUCCCAGAUAAGCCUCCAGGUCAUUCUUCUUUCCCGCCAGUUCGCUGGCCUUGUCACUCAGGGCUAUCUUCUCACGCUUCUGUUGGGUGACCUCCUUGUUGGCCGCGUCGAGAGUAGCUUUCAGAGUGGCAUUCUCCUCUUCAAGUUUGCUGACCGAAGCCAACUUCUCUUCGACAAGUUUCGUCUUGUCCGAAGCCGUUUUCUACGCCUCGGCGAGGUCAAGGUCCUUCUUCUUCAGAGCAUCCCUCAUUAUCUGUAAAAUCACAAUAAGAUCAGACUCAGGGACAGACAAGAAGCAAUGACAGUCGUCAAGAUUCUCACCAAACAUACCUUUUGCCUCCUCCUUCGCCUUCGUGAAGUUCUCCUGGACAAGCUUCAGGUCAAGUUCGAGUUGAAUAUGCUUGUUCUCCAAUUCAGUAUAACGAGCUGCAAACUCACAAGAUCUCUGCAAAAAACCAAUCGACAGAUGUCAAAGAUAGGUCACUUCCGAGUGACUAAGAGAAAAAUCAUAGUAUUUCUAAGACUACAGCUGAAUCUAAACAUUUAACUGUAGUCUCGGGGACUACACCCAGUGGGUGCACUCAGCGUGCCCCCACUAGUUCUAUCAGCGUGCCCCCACUAGUUCUAUCAGCUAGACUCAGAGUCGGUCAGUCGACCAAAAAAGAGAAAGAGAGGAUGUGUUCUUCAGACCAUAGUCGACUGCCAGCAGUCGACCACGGUCUCGGGGACUACAUCCAGUGGGUGCACUCAGCGUGCCCCCACCGGUUUAUGAUUCCAUUCGACCAGAUCGAGUGACGACAGUAAUGAGAAAAAAGAAAAACUCAAGACAUAAAGACUAUGGUCCACUGCCAGCAGUCGACCAUAGCCUUGGGGACUACACCCAGUGGGUGCACUCAGCGUGCCCCCACCAAUCCAGAUUCUCAAUCGACACACCCAGUGGGUGUACGACAGAUACUAAGAUUUUCAGAAAGAAAAGUUUUCAGAUACCAUAUCCUAACAGAACAGGCAGUGAUCGGCCAACCUGAACAUUGCUCUGAAGGGCUGAACUGGCGUCAUAAGCUGCUUGGCUAGCGUCUCGGAUCGCCUUCACUUGCUCCAUCAUAACCCCCGCCUGGCGUAUGGCUUCUUUAGCAGCGCUUGUUUGGUCUUCAGGGACGUGGUGGGUAGAGAAAACUGAAGGCUGGCCAGCACCGGACGACGAAGGGCGAGCACUCGUCAGCGGCACCGCAAAGGAUACGGUAGGCCGAGUGACGUUGUCCCCCUCCGCAACUAACGUCUCAGGUGCUGAUACGACCUGAGCUGCCUUGCCAGCAGACGCUCUCCUAUUCCUCCUCUGCCUCAGUAGUUCCUCGUCUUCAUCAUCAUCAGGAAGAUCAAUGAUGAUAUUAGACGGAGCUGCAGAAAAGAGUCGAAGUUAAAGACGAAGAUCCCACCGACUGAAAAUGAAACUUCAAAGGUCAUACCAGGGUUGGAAGUGACGGCAUCCUCCAUUUCUUGAUCAUCAGGUCUGGCCGAGGUAUCAGAAGUAGCAGCACUGCAGUUUCAAAAAUCAGUAGAUCAACUAACGAAUCGACCAAGAAUAAAUCCAUGAGAAACAAGAGGACACAAGUUAUGUCAUUACCCAGAAAUAGUGGGAAUCACCAUCUUCAUCUUCGGCAAAGCCUUUGUCAGCCUCGACGGCACCACUCGAGAUUGCUUCGGCGCUUUCUCAGUCGGCGCCGGAGAGGUCGUCCGAGGACGCUUGGUCGACUGCACAACAGGCGCGGACCCCUUGCCGCGCUCGACCGCAGGGUCAUGGGAAAGCUUGGACCUUCUUUCAGAACGGGGAGGCACAACUUCCUCCUCCUCUUCCUCUUCCUCCUCCUCCUCAUUGGAGCCUGCAUCUUCAUCACCCUCAUCGCCACCCGAUUCCCACUCUUCCUGACUUUCACCUCCACUUCCUUCCUCCUCCUCGGUCUGUGCUUGCGCCCCGUUGGGCAUCGAAUACAACUCAGUGGUAGCCUGAAGGACAACAAACAAGACAAAAGUCGAUCGACUGAUCUGCAGCAAAACAGAAUGGACGAAACAUGAUUACAGUCGGAGAUAAGCGGUCAUACCUUGUCUGCCUCAUAAGAUUGGUCGAGUGGCGGGAUCCUCCUGGCCCCACAAGGAUUGUCCUUGUUCCCUGUGAUGGCAGUCAUCCACCUCUCCAGUGUGACAUCGUCGACCUCUUCUGGGUGGACCCGAGUGGUGUCUUCAGUACCAGAGUACAACCACAUCGGGUGGCCCUGGUACUGGAGUGGCUGGAUGCGCCGUCGAAGGAAAACCUCCAGAAGAUCCAUGCCGGUCACACCGUCGCAAAUGAGUUUGACUACCCGCUCCAUCAACAUUUUAACCUGAGCCUUCUCCUCCGGAACUACUUUCAGAGAAGACGGCUUGUUCACUUGACUCAUGGAGAAGGGAGGGACCCAGUCGACUGCCCUGGCGUCGACUGGUCUCGGUAGUACAACCAGGUCGACUGCCACCCUCUAACUGACUCGGGAAGGGUCAUAGCCGGAAAAGCACUCUUACUCCUCAUCUGGACCCCAAGACCCCCACACAUCUGGAUUACUUGGGUUCUAUUGUUGUUUGGAUUAGCCUUUUUCACCGUCUGAGAACGACAAGUGAAUAUGUGUUUGAAAAGGCCCCAGUGCGGCCGACAACCCAAGAAGUUUUCGCACAAAGACACGAAAGCGGCUAGAUAGGCAAUGGAAUUGGGUGUGAAGUGGUGGAGCUGAGCCCCGAAGAAGUUCAGAAACCCCUGAAAGAAAAUAUGCGGCGGCAGAGAAAACCCACGAUCGACAUGAGUCGCUAGGAGGACACACUCACCCUCCUAAAGCUGCGGCUGCCACUCCGUCCCCGGAAGCCUCGCUGCUCCGUGCUCAAUCAGCCCCUCGUUGGCCAGGUCGUCGAGAUCCUUCUGGUUGAUGGUCGAGCGGAUCCAAUCCCCUUGGAUCCAACCUUGUGGCAGGCGGGACCGCGACGAGGAUCCACCCCGACUGGUCGCUCUCCCCUUCGCCUUCGCCGUCGCCUUCUUCGCCCGCUCCAAAGCCGUCGUCUUCUCCUUCACCAUUGUCGCCGACGAGGCUGGUACGGAGCAACGGCGCUGAACAGAUGGAAAGUGUUGCGGAUGAAUCUGAAGACGGGGGAGGGGAAAUGAGGAAGCACUGUUCAAAAACCUCCGCCCGGUUCCUUAUAUGGAGUCGCUUCCGAGUGGCUGACUGGUGGACCCGGACAAUCAUGUCAAAUCCCGAAACAGUCGCGCGAGGGAUACGUGGCGAAAAAGGCGGUGCGAGAAUCGAGGCGUCUCUGUCUUAUCCCAUCCGAGUACCGCGUCCUUCUCCGCUUCGCGUGCUACCCGAAAUUCGGAUCCCACUAAAUCCGCUAACCGCAGGACAACUUGUCAGACGGAAGAUCUCCUGCGAUCCGUCGCUCGGAGAUCUCCAAGUAUAGAAAGAUCACUCGACCUACAUCCAGAAUGGAUCAAGGCGAUUGAAAAAGAAGUUGAUGCCGUCACCUACGGUCAUUUGAUCCAGAACAAGACGUGCUCAUAGCAUAGAAAGAGGAGUCGGAAGAAUUCUGAACUCCUUCCUCACUCAAACCUCGAUCCAUUCGGGGGCUAAUGAUGGAGUCGUGUACCUAGGGUAGGGUCAUGGACCUGUCCAAGGUACCCUCCCCAAGGACAUCUUCAGAUGAUGCCGUCUUCCAGUCGACCUAGAGGGACUCCACUCGACUGACUGGAAGACACUCGACGUACUUGAAGACACUCGACCAUGAAGACUCACUCGACCACCAGGACUUCAAGAUCUACUCUGUAUCCAAAUGGCCUGUAAUUAAGUAGUCUUUAUGGUCAUGAUGACAUUUUAUGUAGGGCGUUACAUGUAACGCCAGGCCUUAAUGUACUUUAAACCCUCCGCUACGUGGGCUGGCUGGGGUCUUGGCAUCCUCUAUAUAAGCCACCCCCCUCCACUGGCAGAAGGGUUCGCACCCAUGUAACUCUCACACAUAUAAUCCAGUCGACCGCCUCCGGGCACCGAGACGUAGGGCGGUUACUUCUUCCGAGAAGGGCCUGAACUCGUAAAACUCUUGUGUGCACAACUACUCCAUAGCUAGGAUCUUGCCUCUCCUUAGUACCCCCCUACAUUACUAUCAGACUUAGAACCACGACAAAUAUAACUGCGGGUUUGCGGGGCAGAUGCGGGUCAAAACCCUAUCCCCCCGCAGUCGCGUUUGCCCCCCAAUUCCCCAUCGCGUCGCUCGAUUUGUCGCCGCCGGCAAGCCUUCAACCGCCAUGGAUGACUUGGGGGAUGAGGCAGAGCGCCGCCGCCGCGCCAGAUCUGACGACGCGCACAAGCGGGGGGCACGUAGGUGGCUCAACCGCGGUACCCCGCCGCCAUCGGCCUUCAACCACCGCGAGCUCGAGGACUUCGAUCUCGAGCUCGCCCGUCGCCGCCACGCCUCCUAUGGCAACUGGUCCGCGGGGAGCUAAUUCGUCAACUGGUCCGCAGGGUGCUCAUCCGCGGGCGCAUUGAGCUCGCGGCUCGUUCCGGUGAAGAGGGAGCCGAAGGAGGCCGUGCCCGAUGCGCCGCCGCGCCGAGGCAUCAUCGGCCCCGAGGACUACCUCCCCCCGGGGCAGGAGGAGCUCCUCGAGCGCGUUGUCCUCAAGCGGUCGGCGAGGGAGCAAGAGAAGAUGGAAGAGCGCAUUCGGCGAGAGCUCGAGUACGAGCGACUCUUCUUCGAGACGGGCGUCACGCCAUCGUAGGCGCACGCAUCGAAGGAGGCUGACCUGCGCGUGAUGAAGGUGGAGCAGGCGAAGCUCUACAUCGACCUCGACUCCGACUCCUCCGACUCCGACUGAUCGCCGCCGGUGGGUAGCUACCGCAGGAGCGCCGGUGAGCUCAAUUUUGUUGUAAUGAUACGGUAGCGUAGGCCCUGUCUAGCAUCUCUGACCUUUAAUAUGUAUGUAUGUGGAGUGUACGAACUUAUGCGAAGAAGAACCAUCUAUGCGAGCGAGCUUCGGCGAGCUGCUGCUUAAAUUUCUCGCGCGAAACAACUUUUUUUAAAUAUUACGGAUUUGUUUGUGGUUUCUGUUCUGCCGCCGCAUUUUUCAGCCUGCAUAAGCGCCCCCGUGCGACCUGCAAACACAGUUUAUAGUUUGGCAAAAUGCGGGAUUUGCUAGAGUUGCUCGACAUGUGCUUCACAGUUUGCCUCCCUAUUCUCAAAAAGGAAAGUAACUUUUACAAAGUCUUUCUUUCUAUCACUUAUUUCAUUCAAAACUAAAGCAAAAGAAGAUAGUGUAGCUACAUUGAUGUCCAAAGUAACUUGCAUGCAGUCCGAAGCUAUCACCAUAUGUGACAAGUUGAGAUCUUGGGCUAGUGCAAGUGCUUCAUUGCGUGCUUGGGCUUCUAGACUUGGGGCAUCAACCAAACCGUCCAAGAUGAAAAAGUGAAUGAAGAUGAAAAAAAAACUGCAGCAUCAUCUUUGUUGCAAAUUUCUGCAACAUAACUCUGUUGCAAAAGGUGCGGCUGUUGGACGCCAUAUGCCAGCCAGAUCUAAUGGCUUGCGACCCGGCUGAUCUUUUAAAAAGAUCAGCCGGCAGACACGUAGCACGCCUCAUAAAUAAAAGUACCCCUCAUGCGCCAGGAAAAAUUAUAUGCUAUAUUUUUUUGAGAGAGAGGCUAUGAAGGCUAGCUUUAUUAACUUAAACAACAAUUACAUCAUUUGCCAGGAGAGAAAGGAUCCAGUAUGGAGAGUCAUCAACCCAUUUAAAAGAAAGUUUAUUAAACAGUUUUGUUAGAACUCAUCUAGAUGAGAUAUAAUUUGGUCUCAUUCACCUUUUAUAGUCAUUGGAUGCUAUAAUAUGGGGAGUACCUAGAACUCAUCUAGAUGAGACAUAAUUUGGUCUCAUUCACUUUGAAAACAAGAACAGAUACAAUCCACGUCAGCAUACACGCAUCUUAUAGCAUCACAUCCAACGGCUAUAAAAGGUGAAUGAGACCAAAUUAUAUCUCAUCUAGAUGAGUUCUAGCAAAACUGUAUAAUAUGCGUGUGUGCUGGCGUGGGUUGUAUCUGUUCUUAUUUUUAAAGUGAAUGAGACCAAACUAUAUCUCAUCUAGAUGAGUUCUAGAUACUCCCUUAAACUUUAUUAAAAUAACUAACUAUAGCUGCUAGUUAUUAUCAUGAGCAAUUUUAACAUGGUGCCUCUUAGGCCCUCUUUUCACAUAACAUAGUUAGUAUCGCUUUAUUGCGAAGUGGUGGAACACGUUACAUACCAUGAACACCACAGUGGCGAUACAAUGAACUCGCCUACGUGGAUCACCUCGAGAAGCAAGCAAAAAAAAAACACCUAUAUAAUCCUUUUCCUAAACACAACCAUAAAAGGUUUAUCACUUACAGUCAGCCAUGUCUUAUCCUUAUAAACAUGCAAACCUAGGUCUCUGCAUGGCCCCUUGUCAACACAUGAAACUAUCUUAUAUCCCGAGAGAUCCGUGCCAUGCUUCUCAACCCGGAACACCCCAAAAUGAUCUUAGGCCUUCUUCACUGCCGGCGGCCACAUGUUUAGGCUCUCCUGAUGACAACUCCGGCACCUGUUCUGUAAGGUGCCAAUCUAGCCUUUCAGAGCAAAAGCUUCUCAAGUCAUGGAACUCGAUCCAUAUGUCACUCGACAAGCGGAUCGGCUCACUGGCUGAAGCGUGUUCUGGUAGCGGCGUGAAUCGCAGGGGUGUGCCGAAGAGAGCCUUGCUGCGCUCCUCAACCACAAAAUGUAGGCACCGUAGACCAGUUGGGACGGCUUUGAGGCCGCCACCGCUCGCAGGUUUAGCUGGGAGGAUGUAGUAAUUUGACUUGCUAUUUAGCUCGUUGCCUUCCGUGUCAUAGACCAGUUGGGUGGCGUUGUUGGCAGAGCAAGGCAGGGUGGCGAUGGCGAGGAGAUGGAGGAGGAGGGACAACAUAUUCAAGGAGCAACUCCUUCGUAUGUUGCAAGUGCUAGUUUCCUUGGUUUGAGGCAUCUCCAUCUUGAGCUGUCAUUGCAAAUAACAUGAUGUAAGAACGAUAGCACUAGCACCACAGGCAAGAAAAUUUGAGUAGGACACCGACAGUUAGGACAGAGCAGUAUGCCAUCUAGUUUUUCGAAUGAGCAUCUUCAAAGCACCAAGUUUAGUCUGCAUAAGAUUAGUAUGUUCUUCAUACUGUAUGCAGAAUACAGCACAUUCUUGACUCGUGCCAGAAGCAUAAGUUUAAUUUGCAAUACAAUGAACUCGAGCACAGAUCAACACCAGAAACAAGCAAAAACAAAAUAAACACCUAUAACCUCUCUUUCCUGAAGACAACCAUAAAAGGCUUAUUGCUCACGGUCAGCCACGUCUUGUCCUUAGUAGCAUGCAAACCUAAAUCUUUGCAUGGCCCCUUGUCAACACAUGAAACUAUCUUAUAUCCCGAGAGACCUGUGCCAUGCCUCUCAACCCGGAACACCGCAAACGAUCUUAG
This 19657-nucleotide long non-coding RNA is filed under the name Triticum aestivum (bread wheat). RNAcentral describes it as "long non-coding RNA (TAES_LNC008808)". The record is from RNAcentral. Lineage: Eukaryota; Viridiplantae; Streptophyta; Magnoliopsida; Poales; Poaceae.